This 6344-nucleotide long non-coding RNA is filed under the name Salvia miltiorrhiza (redroot sage). RNAcentral's name for it is "long non-coding RNA (SMIL_LNC005898)". Lineage: Eukaryota; Viridiplantae; Streptophyta; Magnoliopsida; Lamiales; Lamiaceae. The record is from RNAcentral.
CCUCGAUAAACACUUUAAAAAUACUGUCAGCAUCAAAAAAUCCAUCCAUCCAUGUCCAACAACUAGACCAAAAUAGCCCCAUCUUAAGCUCCUUAUCUGAUCGAACUAAAACUUAUUUUGCAUCUCCUGUCACAUGGUGAGGCCAAAAACAAUAUCCACAUCUAUGUAACAAACAAAAAACUGAUCAAAUAGAACAAAAGGGAACCAAUCACCAAACCAGAACCGCUUUUCCUUCAAAAAUGGUGAAGAACCACACAAAGAUCCAUCUGAAAUGGAAGUGCAUAAACAAUAAGCAAGGGGAAAGCCCAGGAAGAAGACAAUGACAGUAGAAAAAUAUUAUACUCCCUCUACAAUGCUUCACGUCCAACAACCAGACCAAGAUAGCCCCACCUUAAGCUCCGACUUUGGUAGAAUCAAAACUUAUUUUGUAUCUCCUGUCAAAGGGUGGGACCAAAAACAAUAUACACAUGUACGUAACAAACAAAAAAUAGAUUAAACAGAGCAAAAGGGAACCAAGCACCAAACCAGAACCGCCUUCCCACGAGAACUGGUUAAUUAGAACCCAAAGAUCAAACAUUUGAAGAUUAAAGAGCAUAACAAUAAGCAAAGGGAAAAAGUUCACCUAGAAGAUAAAUCACAAUAGAAAAAUAAUAUACUCCUGUUGACACCCACCAUAAACACUAUACCAAUGGCAGCAUCCAAGAUUGGUCCAUAUCCAAAUAACCAGACCAAGAUAGCCUCACCUUAAAUACCUAACUUUGAUGGAAUCAAAACCAAUUUUGUAUCUCCUGACACAGGGUGAGGCAGAAAACAAGGUCCAAGUCUACGUAACAAAAUAAAACUAUAAUAGAGAGCAAAGAUAACCAAGGAUCAAACCAGAACAGUCUUCCACAGAAGCCUGAUUAAGAAACACACAACGAUCCGGCAUCUGGAAAUUGAAAAGAAUAACGAUAAGCAAGGGAAAGUUUAGGUAGAAUAUAAAAUUUAGUAAAAAAGUUACAAUACUAUACUCCCUAUGCAACCCUUGAUAAACACUAUAUCAAUGACAGCGUCAAAGGUUGCUCCGUGUCCAACAAUCAGACCAAGAUUGCACCACCAUAAGCUCCUACUUUGAUAGAAUCAAAACUUAAUUUAUAUUUUGUGUCAUAGGGUGAUGCAGAAAACAAUAUCCACGCCAACGUAACAAACAAAAAACUGAUGAAAGAGAAAAAAGAUAACAAAGCAUCAAACCGAACAGCCUUCCAAUUAAGAACCACAACGAUCAGAAAUCUGAAAAUUGAAGAGUAUAACGACAAGCACCGGAAACUCUAGGUAGAAGAGAAAAUAUAGUAGAAGAAAAUGUAGUAUAACAAUCUGCAUCCCUCAAUAAACAUUAUAUCAAUUGACAUCUUAUAUUAGUCCGCAUCCAACAACCCCACCAAGUUGGCCCCCACCUUAAGCUCCCACUUUGAUAGAAUAAAACUGAAUUUGUAUCUCCUGUCACAGGGUGAGGGCGAAAAAAAUAUCAAAGUCUACGUAACAAAAAAAAAAAAACUAUAAUAGAGAACACAGACAACCAAGCGUCAAACAAGAACUGCCUUUCAGAGAAGCUUGAUUAAGAACAAAACAGCAACCAAAGAUUUGUCCAUGUCCAAAAACCAGACCAAGAUAGCCCCCACCUUAAGCUCCUACUUUGAUAGAAUCAAAACCUAUUUUGUAUCUCCUGUCACAGGGUGAGGCUGAAAACAACAUCCAAGUCUACAUAACAGCAAAAGAACUAUAAUUGAGAGAGCAAAGAUAACCAAUUAUCAAACCCGAACUGCCUUCCAGUUAAACUUGAUUAAGAACCACAUAAUGAACAGGCAUCUGGAAAUGGAAGAGAGACUAACAAUAACCACAGGAAAGUCUAGAUGGAAGAUAAAUUGUAGUAGAAAAAAAUACUAUAUUAUACUCCCUCUGCCAUCCUCGAUAAACACUAUAAUUGACAGCGUCAAAGGUUGAUCUGUGGCCAAUAUAACUAAACCAAGAUUAGCCCCACCUUGAGCUCCUACUUUGAUAAAAUCAAAACAAAAUUUUUAUCAUCUGCCAUAGGAUGAGGCAGAAAUACAAUAUACACGUAUACGUAACAAACAAAAAAACUGAUGAUAGAGAGAAAAGAUAAACCCAGCAUCAAACCAGAAGUGCCUUCAAGUAAAGAACACCUGGAAAUUGAAGAGUAUAACGAUAAGUAUAGGAAACUCAAGGUAAAAGAGAAAACGUAAAAAAAAAAAAAAUAACUAUACUGUACACCAUCUGCCACCCUCGACAAACACUAUAUCAAUGAUGGCAUCAUAGAUUAGUCCAUAUCCAAAAACCAGACCAAGAUAACCCCCACCUUAAGCUUCAACUUUGAUAGAAUCAAAACCUAUUUUGUCUCCUGGCACAGGGUGAGGACCAAAACAUUGUCCAAGUCUACAUAACAAAUAAACAAUAAUUACAGAGCAAAGGUGACCAAUUAGCAAACCAGAACAGCCUUCCCGUGAAGCUUGAUUAAAAACCACACAGCGAUCAGGCAUCUGGAAAUUGAUGAGAACAACGGUAAGCAUGGGAAAGUCUAGGUAGAAGAUAAAAGAUAGUAAAAAAAAAAAAAACUAUUCUAUACUCUCUUUGCCAGGCCCACACCACUAUAUCAAUGACAGCAUCAAAGGUAGAUCCGUGUUCAAUAACCAGGCCAACAUUAGCCACACCAUAAGCUCCUUCUUUCAAAACUUAAUUUUUAUCUCCUAUCAUAGGGUGAGGCAGAGAACAAUAUCCACGUCUACAUAACAACAAAAAAUUGUUGAAACUGACAAAAGAUAACCAAGAAAACAAGAAGUGCCAUCCAUUAUGGAAAUUGAAGAGUAUAACUAUAAACACGGGAAACUCUAGGUAGAAGAGAAAAUGUAGUAGAAAAAAAAAAUACUAUUAUGUAUUUCCUUUGCGACCCUCGAUUUACAAUAUACCAAUGAUAACAUCAAAGAUCUGUCCGCGUCCAAAAACCAGACCAAGAUAGCCCCCACAUUAAGCUCCUACAGUGAUGGAAUCAAAACCUAUUUUGUAUCUCCUGUCACAGGGUAGGCCCAAAACAAUAUCCAAGUCUAUAUAACAACAAAAGAAAUAUAAUAGAGAGAUCAAAUGCAACCAAUUAUGAACCCAGAACUGCCUUCCAGUUAAGCUUGAUUAAGAACCACACAACGAUCAGGCAUCUGGAAAUUGAAGAGAAUAACAAUAAGCACGGGAAAGUCAAGAUGGAAGAUAAAUUGUAGCAGAAUUAAUACAAUACUAUACUCCCUCUGACACCCUCGAUAAACAUUAUAUCAGUGACAGCAUCAAAAGUUGAUAUGUCUCCAAUAACUAGACCAAGAUUAGCCCCACCAUAAGCUGCUUCUUUCACAACUUAAUUUUUAACCCCUGUCACAAGGUGAGGCAGAAAACAAUAUCCACGUCUACGUAACAAAUAAAAGAUUGUUGAAACUGACAAAAGAUAACCAAGCAUACCAGAAGUGCCUUCCAGUUAAGAACCACACAACAAUCAGACAUCUGGAAAUUGAAGAGUAUAACUAUUAGCACGGGAAACUCUAGGUAGAAGAGAAAAUGUAGUAGAAAAAAAAUACUAUUAUGUACUCCAUGUACUCCCUUUACCACCCACAUUAAACUAUAUCAAUGACAGCAUGAAGGAUUUGUCAGUGUACCAAAAACCAGACCAAGACACGCCCCCACCUUAAGCUCCUACUUUGAUAGAAUCAGAACCUAUUUUGUAUCUCCUAUCACAGGGUGAGGCUGAAACCAACAUCGAGUCUAAAUAACAACAAAAGAACUACAAUAGAGAGAGCAAAGGUAACCAACUAUCAAACCCGAACUGCCGUCCAGUAAGCUUGAUUAAGAACCACACAACGAUCGGGCAUCUGGAAAUGGAAGAGAAUAACGAUAAGCACCGGAAGGUCUAGAUGGAAGAUAAAUUGUAUUAGAAGAAAUACUAUACUAACUCCCUCUGCCACCCUCGAAAAACAUAUCAUGACCAUCAAAGGAUUGAUUGUGUGCAAUAACUGACUAAGAUUAGCCCUACCUUAAGCCCUACUUUGAUAAAAUUAAAACUUAAUUUUUAUCUCAUGUCAUAGGGUGGGGCAGAAAACAAUAUCACGUCUAUGUACAAACAAAAAUUGUUGAAAUGACAAAAGAUAACCAAACAUCAAACCAGAAGUGUCAUCCAGUUAAGAACCACCCCACGAUCAGACAUCUGGAAAUUGAAGAGUAUAUCUAUAAGCACGGGAAACUCUAGGUAGAAGAGAAAAUGUAUAGAAAUAAAAAUACUAUUAUGUACUCCCUUUGCCACCCUCGAUUAACACAAUAUCAAUGACUCAUCAAAGAUCUGUCCGCGUCCAAAAACCAGACCAAGAUAGCCCCCACAUUAAGCUCCUACAGUGAUGGAAUCAAAACCUAUUUUGUAUCUCCUGUCACAGGGUAGGCCCAAAACAAUAUCCAAGUCUAUAUAACAACAAAAGAAUAUAAUAGAGAGAUCAAAUGCAACCAAUUAUGAACCCAGAACUGCCUUCCAGUUAAGCUUGAUUAAGAACCAAACAACGAUCAGGCAUCUGGAAAUCGAAGAGAAUAACAAUAAGCACGGGAAAGUCAAGAUGGAAGAUAAAUUGUAGCAGAAUUAAUACAAUACUAUACUCCCUCUGACACCCUCGAUAAACAUUAUAUCAGUGACAGCAUCAAAAGUUGAUGUCUCCAGUAACUAGACCAAGAUUAGCCCCACCAUAAGCUGCUUCUUUCACAACUUAAUUUUUAACUCCUGUCACAAGGUGAGGCAGAAAACAAUAUCCACGUCUACGUAACAAAUAAAAGAUUGUUGAAACUGACAAAAGAUAACCAAGCAUACCAGAAGUGCCUUCCAGUUAAGAACCACACAACAAUCAGACAUCUGGAAAUUGAAGAGUAUAACUAUUAGCACGGGAAACUCUAGGUAGAAGAGAAAAUGUAGGUAGAAAAAAAAUACUAUUAGUACUCCCUUUACCACCCACUAUUAACACUAUAUCAAUGACAGCAUGAAGGAUUUGUCAGUGUCCAAAAACCAGACCAAGACAGCCCCCACCUUAAGCUCCUACUUGAUAGAAUCAGAACCUAUUUUGUAUCUCCUAUCACAGGGUGAGGCUGAAACCAACAUCCGAGUCUAAAUAACAACAAAAGAACUACAAUAGAGAGAGCAAAGGUAACCAACUAUCAAACCCGAACUGCCGUCCAGUUAAGCUUGAUUAAGAACCACACAACGAUCGGGCAUCUGGAAAUGAAGAGAAUAACGAUAAGCACCGGAAGGUCUAGAUGGAAGAUAAAUUGUAUAGAAGAAAUACUAUACUAUACUCCCUCUGCCACCCUCGAUAAACACACUAUAUAGUGACCACGUCAAAGGAUUGACUUGUGUGCAAUAACUUGACUAAGAUUAGCCCUACCUUAAGCUCCUACUUGAUAAAAUUAAAACUUAAUUUUUAUCUCAUGUCAUAGGGUGGGGCAGAAAACAAUAUCCACGUCUAUGUAGCAAACAAAAUUGUUGAACUGACAAAAGAUAACCAAACAUCAAACAGAAGUGUCUCCAGUUAAGAACCACCCCACGAUCAGACAUCUGGAAAUUGAAGAGUAUAUCUAUAAGCACGGGAAACUCGAGGUAGAAGAGAAAAUGUAGUAGAAUAAAAAUACUAUUAUGUACUCCCUUUGCCACCCUCGAUUAACACAAUAUCAAUGACUACAUCAAAGAUCUGUCGCGUCCAAAAACCAGACCAAGAUAGCCCCCACAUUAAGCUCCUACAGUGAUGGAAUCAAAACCUAUUUUGUAUCUCCUGUCACAGGGUAGGCUCAAAACAAUAUCCAAGUCUAUAUAACAACAAAAGAAAUAUAAUAGAGAGAUCAAAUGCAACCAAUUAUGAACCCAGAACUGCCUUCCAGUUAAGCUUGAUUAAGAACCAAACAACGAUCAGGCAUCUGGAAAUCGAAGAGAAUAACAAUAAGCACGGGAAAGUCAAGAUGGAAGAUAAAUUGUAGCAGAAUUAAUACAAUACUAUACUCCCUCUGACACCCUCGAUAAACAUUAUAUCAGUGACAGCAUCAAAAGUUGAUAGUCUCCAUAACUAGACCAAGAUUAGCCCCACCAUAAGUGCUUCUUUCACAACUUAAUUUUUAACCCCUGUCACAAGGUGAGGCAGAAAACAAUAUCCACGUCUACGUAACAAAUAAAAGAUUGUUGAAACUGACAAAAGAUAACCAAGCAUACCAGAAGUGCCUUCCAGUUAAGAACCACACAACAUCAGACAUCUGGAAAUUGAAGAGUAUAUCUAUAGCACGGGAAAUUCUAG